GAAACGGGUGGUAAUGCCGGAUGCUCCGACUCCUCGCAUGGGGUGUCGGGAAAGAUUUCAUCGGUAUGGGAUGGGGUCGCGUCCUAUCAGGUAGUCGGCGGGGUAACGGCCCACCGAGCCUACGACGGGUAGCCGGCCUGAGAGGGCGACCGGCCACAUUGGGACUGAGAUACGGCCCAGACUCCUACGGGAGGCAGCAGUGGGGAAUAUUGCACAAUGGGCGCAAGCCUGAUGCAGCGACGCCGCGUGCGGGAUGACGGCCUUCGGGUUGUAAACCGCUUUUGAUCGGGAGCAAGCCUUCGGGUGAGUGUACCUUUCGAAUAAGCACCGGCUAACUACGUGCCAGCAGCCGCGGUAAUACGUAGGGUGCAAGCGUUAUCCGGAAUUAUUGGGCGUAAAGGGCUCGUAGGCGGUUCGUCGCGUCCGGUGUGAAAGUCCAUCGCUUAACGGUGGAUCUGCGCCGGGUACGGGCGGGCUGGAGUGCGGUAGGGGAGACUGGAAUUCCCGGUGUAACGGUGGAAUGUGUA
Molecule: ribosomal RNA, 527 nt
Filed under: Bifidobacterium pseudocatenulatum
Lineage: Bacteria; Bacillati; Actinomycetota; Actinomycetes; Bifidobacteriales; Bifidobacteriaceae
Description: bacterial SSU rRNA
Rfam family: Bacterial small subunit ribosomal RNA
Source: RNAcentral